GGACCACAAGGCAGUACCUGAGCCACUGAGCACACACAGGUACACCUAACCCAGGGGCAGCUAGCGAGCAGAUUGCUGGGAAAAGUGACAUCUGAGCAAACACCUGAAAGACUGGGAGUCUUCCGGAAGGAGUCAGGAUCAAGUUCAUGUUCCCCAGAGUCAAAGAAUGAACAAUGCAUACAAAGGAAGCGAGUGAGCAGGAAUUUUAUUUUAAAGGAAGGUGAAAGAAAUACUCAGAACUAAGCACAGUGCACCUGGGAGAAGGAAGAUCGCCAUCUAAGUCUUACAGCUCCUCCUUUGGAAGGCACAUGUGAAGUUGAUGAGCUCUUCCUGAUUGGUUCUUUUGCUGCUGUUGUUCUAAUUAGUGAUACAUGACAAAGGAGGAUGCAUUUUGACACAUCAUACAUAAAUGCAGUAUAACUUCCUGUUCAUCUGGUUGUACAUGAUGUAAAGUCACACAGGUCAUGUAAUCAUAUAUGCACAUAGGGUCAUGAGGUCCAAUUCAGCUAUCCUUCCUACCUGUAUGCCCCCUACCCUCCCUUCGAUCCCCUCUAUCUAGUUCUCUAUUCUUCCCCACCACUGUCACCUUAUUGUGAAUUAGCAUCCACAUAUCAGAGAAAACAUUUGGCCUUUGGUUCUUUGGGGAUUGGCUUAUUUCACUUAGCAUGAUGUUCUCCAGUUCCAUCCAUUUACCAGCAAAUGCCA
RNAcentral lists this long non-coding RNA (705 nucleotides) under Marmota monax (woodchuck). The record is from RNAcentral. Lineage: Eukaryota; Metazoa; Chordata; Mammalia; Rodentia; Sciuridae.